GCCGGGCGUGGUGGCUCAUGCCUGUAAUCUAAGCACUUUGGAGGCCAAGGCAGGUGGAUCACCUGAGGUUGGGAGUUCAAGACCAGCCUGACCAACAUGGUGAAACCCUGUCUUUA
Unclassified non-coding RNA from Callithrix jacchus (white-tufted-ear marmoset), 116 nucleotides. It matches the Rfam family "Metazoan signal recognition particle RNA". Rfam says of the family: The signal recognition particle (SRP) is a universally conserved ribonucleoprotein. It is involved in the co-translational targeting of proteins to membranes. The record is from Ensembl. NCBI's taxonomy places the organism in Eukaryota, Metazoa, Chordata, Mammalia, Primates, Cebidae.